AUGAAUCUCAUACGUUACAUUAAAACAGCUUGGCAUGUCCCAUAAUCUCCUACAUAAACCUCGAGAGACGCUAUCAUCUUCCCAAGUUUCUCCGUUUGUUUCUUCAGAGUACUCUCUCUCAAGACUACUAGAUUUUGGUCGGUAUAUUGAGGAAAAAGCUAACAUCCAUCUCAGCAGCGCCAGAGGACUAGGCAGAGGAUUCGGAGGCGGCGGUAGGGAAAAUUAACCAUGUAUUGGUAGCCCUUUUUUGGUCCACUACGCCUCUGUAUCUCCAUUUGCAUGUCGUUCAUACAAUAAUCUGUGCAAGGGGGUUAACAAAUGUCAGAACCAAUAUGGCAGCUGAGGUUUUAUUGGUCCAUUCCAUUUGUGUGAAUAAAUGAUAUGCCAUUUGCUGGUAACUAUCAGCUAUUCUGCUGUAGCAUCCUCUGAGUACUUCUAAUAAUUUGUUGGCAGUCAGUGUGAUGGGUGAAUGCAAAGGGAACUUCGGGAAUUCAGUCAGUAUGAUCGUACAUAUACUGUGAAAUCAUCUUAUUCCUUAAGGUCACUGCUCCAAAAAACUAAGGUCAGACUUCCUUAAACCGGCACGCCAAAUAACAAUCCCAACUUGAAAUAUCCCUCCAGCGCUGGACCUUUUUAUGCCCAAAUAUAAACACAAUUUCUAAAGUAAUGAUGCCAAAUGGAGUCCCACUCAUCAAGUACUCAAUGGAAUUAUCGUUGAAGCCACUGCAACUCGAAUUUUGGAUACCAGCGGGUGGCACUAUUUAGGCUGCAACAAAUGCAUACCUAAAGGGGUUGGUGAAGUCGGAGACUGUAGAUGCACCAAAUUUCGAGGAACCUGUGCUGCAGUGUAUUAUUAUGGGAUAUAAUUUCCAGUAGUUUCACUAAAAAUUCUGCAUCCCCAUGGUAUUAACUCUGAUUAAGCGGAUGCGGGUUCCUUCUUCACUUUGAGGUGACAUACCAUACCGGCUUCACCAUAUUAUCUGAACCGGACAAUUUAAGUCCAGCAGAUUGUCCGCGCAACUUCGUCCGACAUUGUCAUAAUGGGAGAGGUACCCAAUGAUUCAUUUCUCUUUACUUUAUUAGGCAUCCAUAAGUGAGACAAACAAAUUUUCCUGUGUACAUAUUUAAGUUCCAAAGUGAAGAAUUUUUGGUUUAUGUAAAUCCAGUUUCAUGUUUAAAUGGCACCAUGAGAAGGGAAAGUAUAAUGUGGUUGCAGUUUUUGAAGAGAUCCUGAAUGUUAAAAUGGACCACCAUAUAACGCUUACCGCAUAUGACAACCACAUUAUGUUUUCGUAGUCC
This is a long non-coding RNA of Papaver somniferum (opium poppy), 1299 nucleotides long. RefSeq lists it as uncharacterized. The record is from RefSeq and is a predicted model, not a curated record. NCBI's taxonomy places the organism in Eukaryota, Viridiplantae, Streptophyta, Magnoliopsida, Ranunculales, Papaveraceae. The transcript has 7 exons.